ACUGAAGUCUUGGUUAGACUCACUGGGCAAUGGAAUUUGAACUGCCACCUCAUUCUGGUCUCUCUCAUCAGGCAUAGAUGACCCCUCUCUGGAAGAGCUCUUGAGAGAAGCCAUUGUUUGUUACACCUGUCUUAUAGAGCUACAGAGAACUUUCAUCUGUUCACCACACACUUGGACAGCUUGACAACACCAAAUCAUUUGUAUCACAAGUGUCGUGGUAAAGCAGUUCUCCUUUGUGCUCACCUUGGAGGGAAAAGUGUACAUGAGAGUCUUUAUUUUUAUCAUCUUGGAAGUGAUGACACAGAGAGAAAAAAGACAGACAGACAGACAGACAGACAAACAUAGGAAGAGAAAGAGGAAGAGAAAAAGGAAGAGACGGAGGAAACGUAUCACUGUGGCUCAUGCCUGCACAUCCAGCUAUUAGGAAGAUAAAUCAGAAAAAUUAAGGUGAGUUUGAGGCCUGUCUAGGAAUCAUAGCAAGACCCCAAUCAGCCAGAGGUGCAAAGCCCUAUCCAAUAUAUAUAUUGGGCUCAAGAGAUGGCUCAGCAGCUAAUAGUACUGCUACUCCUGCAGAGAACCUGGGUUCAUUUCCCCAGUGUUCCAUGGCGGUUCACAACCAUUUGUAACUCCAGUUUCAGGCUAUCUGAUGCCCUCUUCUGGUCUCUGUGAGCACCAGACAAAUAAAUGGUACACAGACCUACAGUCAAGACACUUAUAUACCAAGAAAUAAACUAUUUUAAUUAUAUAUAAAUAUAUUAACUAGAUUUGAAAGAAGUUAAUUUCAUUCAAAAUUUUACAUUAUCUUCUGAUACAAUUUGAUUUGACUCAUGGGCAGAAGAUACACAAGUCAGUUUGUGGAGCGUUUGCCUAGUAUGCACAAAACUCUGGCUUCUGCCCCCUACUCUGCAGAGACCAAGCACAAUGCUACACACCUGUAAACCUAGCAGUCAGGAGGUAUUGACAGAAGAGUCAGAAGUCUGCGGUCAUCCUUGGCUAUGUAGGGUAUCUGAGGCUAUCCAGCGCACCAUGAGGAUAUCUGUCUUGGGGGUUCGUGGAGGAGGGUAUUGAGAGAGCUGAAAUGAAAUUCUGUCUACAUUUUCUAAACAGUGUCUUUUUCCACCGUCUGAAAUGAGCUAAUAUUAAAUGCACACAUCAUAAUUUUUCACUUUAAGAAACUUCUAUGCACAGAUCCUAGAUGCUAAUCACUUAAAGCAGAUGUCCAGGGAGGUGCCAUCUUUUGAAAGUUGAGCUGAUAACCAUGUGAUUCAUACGCAGACAACUGUAAGCACAGUGAGCUUCAGAGAUGCAGCUCGGCCCCUGAAAUGCCAAGGGAUAUUUUCCUCGGUGAAACAUUGAACAAUGUGCCUCCAACAAGAAACAGACAAUGGCUUUCCUGAGGCUUGCGGUGUGGUCACGGUGAUGAUCUCUUCCUUUCUUCUUAAUGUGGUCCCAUACCAGAGACAUGACAAUGGUCAUUCACAAAAACUACAGUACGGAGAAGUUGGAGAUGCCUCUUCUGCAAUGUUUCUUUCUUCCAUCUGCAGCCGGGGGGUUACAGCUGCUGGCUUUUUCUUUUCUCGGUUACCUGAAUAGCUUUCCGCUUCGUAACUGUACCAGCUAGCUUUCUAUUGUGGCCAAAGGGCCAGUCAGAAUAUUUUAGUGUCUUUGGACUUCUAUGCUACCUUUCUUCUUUGAAACAGUUUGAAAGCUGGUUUUGUUGUUUUCUCGUUGAAGCCCUUGAUAGUGAACUGAGACCCAUGUGGUAUAUAUAGUGAUAAGUAAAAUAGUUAUAAACAAAAAUGAAAGUUUUUAACUAGGGUCUAUGCUUAAGAUUUCCCAUUUGGCUACCAAUACCUGAAACUCCAGGACUUGGCAGGUGAAGGAUCGAGAUUUCAAGGCCAGCCACGGCUAGAGGAGACCUGUCUUGAAAGGAAUAAAAGUUGUUAAAAAUGAAAUUAGUAGCUAACAAUAGUUUCUAGAUAUUGUAGCUACAAAUGUUCAUUACAUUUUUUAAAAAUUCAAAAAGGGGCUGGUGAGAUGGCUCGGUGGGUAAGAGCACCCGACUGCUCUUCCGAAGGUCCAGAGUUCAAAUCCCAGCAACCACAUGGUGGCUCACAACCAUCUGUAACAAGAUCUGACUCCCUCUUCUGGAGUGUCUGAAGACAGCUACAGUGUACUUACAUAUAAUAAAUAAAUAAAUCUUUAAAAAAAAUCAUUAACUUGAGCAUUCUAAAUAAAUCUCUGACAUAUAUGUUUAUAAUAUCAAUGGCAGCCAUUCGUGAAAAUCUUACUAAAGGCUAGGCACCAUACAUAAUACUUCACUCAUCAUGUUAAUGCUUUUUUAUUAUGCCAAUGAGGCAUGUGCAAACAUGCAUACUGUACAGACAAAGCAACUAGUGAUUAGUUGGCUACACAGAUGAGAUGGCAGUCAAGUAGGAUUUGAACUUACAUCCUCUUGACAUAAACCAUCUUGCUUUUAUGUGCUGUGUUGUUCAGCCUUCCCAUGCAGGUAAGCACAACAGAACAUUCAUGAGCUGUAGGUGUCUUUAUAUAUUACAAUUCAAACAUACCCUUUAGACAAUAUCUCCUGACAUUUCUUCAUAUUAUCUUUUAUUUUUGUCAUCAAACAAUACUUACUGGAUAGUUGAUGUUGAGUAGAUCUUUUAACCUCUCAAAUUUUCAACUGUCAUCUCCAAAAUGAGAUAAAUGAACUAAGUCCCCUAAAGUCUGUAUCAUAUGGUCUCUGCUGCAUAACAAACUAUGUUAAAACUCUGUUUACUUACAAAACAAGGUAACCAUGAUUUUGUACAUGAGAAAUCUGGGAAGAGUUCACACGAUGACUCCUCUUCAUGUCAGAUUGGACUCAAUCAUGGGUCUAACAUAGCAUCUCAGUUUUCCAUGGAGAUAGGAAGUUCUUGGCACCUAAGACUUUAGUGAGAACUGGGCAUGCUCACUGAAAAGUAGCUGAGCCCUCAUGUUUCUAUGGUCAGAUAGACUUUUUUUUUAAGAUUUUUAUUUAUUAUUAUAUAUAAGUACACUCUAGCUGUCUUCAGACACACCAGAAGAGGGUGUCAGGUCUCAUUACAGACGGUUUUGAGCCACCAUGUGGUUGCUGGGAUUUGAGCUCAUGACCUCUGGAAGAGCAGUCAGUGCUCUUUACCACUGAGCCAUCUCUCCAGCCCCCAGAUGGACUUCUGCUAAUCCACAAAGUAACUGGACCACAGAUCUGAUUACCCCACUAGGUUUGCCCAGGUUUGUUCAAAUGAUGGUAAAUGUACAGUUUUGAAAAGUAAUGAGAGAAACUACUCCCAGUGAGCCAAUUGUCUAUUUCCAGUCAUUCAUAUAUAUAUAUAUACAUACACACUCUUGGUUCAAAGUGAAUUAUCUGGACCAGAUUCAGUAACAAAGAAGUAGAUCCCCUCAGUCUAACAGAAGGACGUAAGAAACAUGUGUCACCUGACC
RNAcentral lists this long non-coding RNA (3462 nucleotides) under Mus musculus (house mouse). Its description in RNAcentral is "long non-coding RNA chr6:64983701-64987163". Lineage: Eukaryota; Metazoa; Chordata; Mammalia; Rodentia; Muridae. The record is from RNAcentral.